Molecule: ribosomal RNA, 301 nt
Filed under: uncultured bacterium
Lineage: Bacteria
Description: partial 16S ribosomal RNA
Rfam family: Bacterial small subunit ribosomal RNA
Source: RNAcentral
CAGUCGCCGCGGGAAUACGAAGGGGGCUAGCGUUGCUCGGAAUCACUGGGCGUGAAGGGUGCGUAGGCGGGUCUUUAAGUCGGGGGUGAAAUCCUGGAGCUCAACUCCAGAACUGCCUUUGAUACUGAAGACCUUGAGUUCGGGAGAGGUGAGCGGAACUGCGAGUGUAGAGGUGAAAUUCGUAGAUAUUCGCAAGAACACCAGUGGCGAAGGCGGCUCACUGGCCCGAUACUGACGCUGAGGCACGAAAGCGUGGGGAGCAAACAGGAUUAGAUACCCCCGUAGUCCCUGUCUCUUAUAC